This 254-nucleotide ribosomal RNA is filed under the name uncultured bacterium. Its description in RNAcentral is "partial 16S ribosomal RNA". It matches the Rfam family "Bacterial small subunit ribosomal RNA", at positions 524 to 776 of the family's 1533-position model. The record is from RNAcentral.
UACGUAGGGUGCGAGCGUUGUCCGGAAUUAUUGGGCGUAAAGAGCUCGUAGGCGGUGUGUCGCGUCGGCCGUGAAAACCUGCAGCUUAACUGUGGGCUUGCGGUCGAUACGGGCAUCACUGGAGUUCGGCAGGGGAGACUGGAAUUCCUGGUGUAGCGGUGGAAUGCGCAGAUAUCAGGAGGAACACCGGUGGCGGAGGCGGGUCUCUGGGCAGUAACUGACGCUGAGGAGCGAAAGCGUGGGGAGCGAACAGG